RNAcentral lists this ribosomal RNA (460 nucleotides) under uncultured bacterium. Its description in RNAcentral is "partial 16S ribosomal RNA". It matches the Rfam family "Bacterial small subunit ribosomal RNA", at positions 338 to 795 of the family's 1533-position model. The record is from RNAcentral.
CCUACGGGAGGCAGCAGUAAGGAAUAUUGGUCAAUGGCCGUAAGGCUGAACCAGCCAAGUCGCGUGAAGGAAGAAGGAUCUAUGGUUUGUAAACUUCUUUUAUAAGGGAAUAAAGGUAUCCACGUGUGGAUAUUUGCAUGUACCCUAUGAAUCAGCCUCGGCUAACUCCGUGCCAGCAGCCGCGGUAAUACGGAGGUUGCGAGCGUUAUCCGGAUUUAUUGGGUUUACAGGGUGCGUAGGUUGUUUUUUAAGUUAGCGGUUAAAGGUUGUGGGUCAACCAUAAAAUUGCCGUUGAAACUGGAAGACUUGAGUGUGUUUGAGGUAGGCGGAAUGCGUGGUGUAGCGGUGAAAUGCAUAGAUAUCACGAAGAACUCCGAUUGCGAAGGCAGCUUACUAAGCCAUAACUGACACUGAAGCACGAAAGCGUGGGGAUCAAACAGGAUUAGAUACCCGGGUAGUC